UGGGGUCUAUGGGGUCUCUAUGGGAUCUUUAUGGGUUUCUAUGGGUCUCUAUGGGGUCUCUAUAGGGCUCUAUGGGGUCUAUGGGUUCUCUAUGGGUCUCUAUGGGGUCUCUAUGGGUCUUUAUGGGGUCUCUAUGGGUCUCUAUGGGCUCUAUGGGGUCUCUGGGUUUCUAUGGGGUCUAUAGGAUCUCUAUGGGUCUCUAUGGGUCUCUAUGGGGUCUCUAUGGGAUCUAUGGGGUCUAUGGGAUCUAUGGGGUCUAUAGAAUCUCUAUGGGUCUCUAUGGGGAUCUAUGGGGUCUCUAUGGGAUCUAUGGGGUCUAUGGGUCUCUAUAGGAUCGCUAUGGGAUCUAUGGGGUCUCUAUGGGAUCUAUGGGGUCUAUAGGAUCUCUAUGGGGCUCUAUGGGAUCACUAUGAGAUCUAUGGGGAUCUAUGGGGUCUAUGGGGUCUAUGGGGUUUCUAUGGGAUCUACCGGGUCUCUAUGGAACUCUAUGGGGUCACUAUGGGGUCUAUGGGUCUCUAUAGGAUCGCUAUGGGAUCUAUGGGGUCUAUGGGCUCUAUGGGGUCCCUCUGGGGCUCUAUGGGUCUCUAUGGGUCUCUAUGGGGCUCUAUGGGAUUUCUAUAAGGCUCUAUGGGAUCUAUGGGGCUCUAUGGGGUCUAUGGGGUCUCUAUGGGGUCUAUGGGCUCUAUGGGGUCUCUAUGGGGCUCUAUGGGGUCUCUAUGGGAUCUAUGGGGUCUAUGGGUCUCUAUAGGAUCGCUAUGGGAUCUAUGGGGUCUAUAGGAUCUCUAUGGGUCUCUAUGGGGAUCUAUGGAGAUCUAUGGGUCUCUAUGGGGCUCUAUGGGACCUAUGGGGUCUAUGGGGUCUGUAUGGGAUCUAUGGGGCGGCUAUGGGGCGGCUAUGGGGCCAGCCCUACCCGUCCCGUGCCAGCAGCCCCUUUAUGCUGCCAUCCUCUGCCUUCCUCCCGUCGCUGACGAUGAUGAUGGUGGAGCCGCCGGGACCCCGAGCCGCCAGCAGCCGCUGCGACCCCAAAGCUUUGCCCUAUAGGGAGACAUGGGGGGCAGCCCCAUAAGUUGGGGGGCUCACACGGCCCCAUAGAUUUCCCAUAUUGGGGAUCUGUGGGGUUAUGGGGCUGCCCCAUAAGUUGUGGGGCUCACAUGGCCCCAUAGAUUUCCCCUAUAGGGAGACAUGGGGGGCAGCCCCAUAAGUUGGGGGACUGACACGGCCCCAUAGAUUUCCCCUAUUGGGGAUCUGUGGGGUUACGGGCCGCCCCAUAAGUUGUGGGGCUGACACGUGACCCUACAGGGAGAAGCUAUGGGGCGGCCCCAUAAGUUGUGGGGCUCACACUGCCCCAUAGAUUUGCCUAUAGGGGAUCUAAGGGGUGAUGGGGCCGCCCCAUAAGCUGUGGGGCUCACACUGCCCCAUAGAUUUCCCCUAUAGGGGAUCUAUGGGGUUAUAGGGCUGCCCCAUAAGUUGUGGGGCUCACACUGCCCCAUAGAUUUCCCCUAUUGGGGAUCUAUGGGGUGAUGGGGCUGCCCCAUAAGUUGUGGGGCUGACACGUGGCCCUAUAAGGGGAAUCUAUGGGGCUGCCCCAUAAGUUGAGGGCCUCUCACUGCCCCAUAGAUUUCCCCUAUUGGGGAUCUGUGGGGUUAUGGGGCUGCCCCAUAAGUUGGGGGCUCACACGGCCCCAUAGAUUUCCCCUAUAGGGAGACAUGGGGGGCAGCCCCAUAAGUUGGGGGGCUCACACUGCCCCAUAGAUUUGCCUAUAGGGGAUCUAUGGGGUGAUGGGGCCGUCCCAUAAGUUUGGGGGGCUCACACUGCCCCAUAGAUUUCCCCUAUAGGGGAUCUAUGGGGUUAUAGGGCUGCCCCAUAAGUUGUGGGGCUCACACUGCCCCAUAGAUUUCCCCUAUAAGGGAUCUGUGGGGUUAUGGGGCUGCCCCAUAAGUUGGGGGCUCACACUGCCCCAUAGAUUUCCCCAAUAAAGGGAUCUAUGGGGUUAUGGGGCCGCCCCGU
Molecule: long non-coding RNA, 2007 nt
Filed under: Phasianus colchicus (ring-necked pheasant)
Lineage: Eukaryota; Metazoa; Chordata; Aves; Galliformes; Phasianidae
Description: lncRNA (ENSPCLG00000017787.1)
Source: RNAcentral